Hebeloma cylindrosporum is the source of this 89-nucleotide transfer RNA. It matches the Rfam family "tRNA". Rfam says of the family: Transfer RNA (tRNA) molecules are approximately 80 nucleotides in length. Their secondary structure includes four short double-helical elements and three loops (D, anti-codon, and T loops). Lineage: Eukaryota; Fungi; Basidiomycota; Agaricomycetes; Agaricales; Hymenogastraceae. The record is from Rfam.
GGGCUUUUGGCACAGUUGGUAGCGCACCUGCUUUGCAUUCUAGUUGUGCAAAUUGCAUGAGGUCGAGGGUUCGAAUCCCCCAGAGUCCA